AAGGUGGCUACACUAAAUAACAGAUUGUCAAUGUAGACAAAGUGGUCUUACAUUGGACAAAGAUGCCAUAUAGGACUUUCAUAGCUAGAUGAACAUUUUAAGCCCACUAUUGAGACCUACUGCUCAGAAAAAGAUUCCUUUCAAAACAUUGCUACUCAUUGACAAUGCACCUAGUCACCUAAGAGCUCUGAUAGGGAUGUAAAAGGA
This 207-nucleotide long non-coding RNA is filed under the name Pan troglodytes (chimpanzee). RNAcentral describes it as "long non-coding RNA NONPTRT011623". The record is from RNAcentral. Lineage: Eukaryota; Metazoa; Chordata; Mammalia; Primates; Hominidae.